UUCCAGACUCCUACGGGAGGCAGCAGUGAGGAAUAUUGGUCAAUGGCCGCAGGGCUGAACCAGCCAAGUCGCGUGAGGGAUGACGGUCCUAUGGAUUGUAAACCUCUUUUGUCAGGGAGCAAAGGGCGCCACGUGUGGCGUUUUGCGAGUACCUGAAGAAAAAGCAUCGGCUAACUCCGUGCCAGCAGCCGCGGUAAUACGGAGGAUGCGAGCGUUAUCCGGAUUUAUUGGGUUUAAAGGGUGCGUAGGCGGGAUGCCAAGUCAGCGGUAAAAAUGCGGUGCUCAACGCCGUCGAGCCGUUGAAACUGGCGUUCUUGAGUGGGCGAGAAGUAUGCGGAAUGCGUGGUGUAGCGGUGAAAUGCAUAGAUAUCACGCAGAACUCCGAUUGCGAAGGCAGCAUACCGGCGCCCUACUGACGCUGAGGCACGAAAGCGUGGGUAUCGAACAGGAUUAGAUACCCGAGUAU
Molecule: ribosomal RNA, 466 nt
Filed under: uncultured bacterium
Lineage: Bacteria
Description: bacterial SSU rRNA
Rfam family: Bacterial small subunit ribosomal RNA
Source: RNAcentral